CCAGGAAGGUUCCAGAGCGCCGGCGGGAGCGGUCCUCGGAGGAUGUGCAGGCACACACGAGGGCUUAAAGCUGGCGCCGUGGAGGGGUUGGUGGUUGGAAAACGGAGCGCCAGAUACAUAUUCGUGCUAACGGCUUACACGACCUUUCUCUGGCCGGUUUCCAGUUCCUCCUGGUAUAGCGAUCUCUGAAGCCAAAAGUGGAUGAUUCUUUUGCUGAAGUUCUUGGUAUUCUCAUCCCCAUCAUUGCUUUAAGUGAAUCUUAACAAUAAACUAGCAUAAUGCGUAAGAGAUUUAUCUUUUUUUGUUUGUUUGUUUAUCAGGGCUUUCAAAAUUGCGUUUGAGAUGCUAAAUUUACAGGGAUUCCAAAAUCCUUCACUGUUUUGUUUUUUUCCCUUUUCCUGUUUUAGGGGCAGAGCACAAAGGUCCCGCCACGCGCUCCCCCUUCCCCCCAUAAAUUGUUCAGUGGAGUUUUCCACCCUCUCUUCCUGCCCCACCCUCCUUACUUCUCUUACUGUGUACUAGAAGUCACUAUUCUGUACACGGUAGUUUCAAACUUAGGACCCCCUGUCUAAUCCUCUCAAAUUCUGUGAACACAGGCAUGCAUAGCCACACCCACCCACCUCACCUUAUCUUCGGAUCACAUUUCACAGCCUCUAAAUGGAGGUUAUUCAAUCAAAACACGCUCUAGUCUUCCUAGAAUAGGAACAUGUAAAUUCCACAGCUCGAUGACAAAGAUGCUAAUGAUAUCUGAUGAAAAUUAGACAGCACCAUGAAAGAUUAACAGGAAAACGUUCCGUGGUUUUUAAAAACAAAUGCAAUUGUCUUUGUGCUGCAGUUAUGCAUUAUUUGUAGAUAGAUUCUAAAUAUUAAGAGUGCCGAUAUUACCGGCACUCCGAGACUUGCAAUCAGAGAUCUGGCUUUACAGAGCACUUGUUAACCUGUCUCCAAAGAGAGGCUCUUCACGCUUUGCUAAAGGGACUUGCAAGAGCACAGUAUUGGGAAUUCUUUUUUUGCUUUGGACAAAUCUCCCCACUUUUUAAAAUCCUUAUCCUAGUGAUCCCAAUGCUGUGAGAAACUUAAAGAAUCCGAGACUAUGUGUUCUCACCGCAAAAGGAAGAAAAGGAACCAGAAGAAGAAGAGACACACAACAAAGGGAGGCUAUAGAGAAAAGAAUGAAGCCAGGAGUGGUGGUGAAUGCCUGUAAUCUCAGCACGGAGGAGUCAGUGGCAGAAGGACCAAAAGUUAAAAACCAACUGUGUGAUGAGUUUCAGGACUGUCUGGGCUACAUAACGCUCUUAUCUGAUUUUUUUGUUUGUUUGUUUUUAAGGAAAAGAGUGAAUUACAUUUAAGCUCACAGAAAUAAUAUACUUGGAAAUAUGACAUGUUACUGUAUUCCUUUGGCUACUGACAUAGGUUUCUAAUGUUUUAAGUACAGACAUAUAUUAUUUUGUAAAACCAUUAAAUCCAUUGCAAUUCUA
Long non-coding RNA from Mesocricetus auratus (golden hamster), 1478 nucleotides. RefSeq lists it as uncharacterized. The record is from RefSeq and is a predicted model, not a curated record. Lineage: Eukaryota; Metazoa; Chordata; Mammalia; Rodentia; Cricetidae. The transcript has 2 exons.